CAUUUGCUGCAGGAGCGGGAACGCCUGCGCAAGGCCGGCAUUCUGGCCGGGAGCGGUGACUAGAACCCUGGUUCGAGACCAGGGGGAAAUGA
RNAcentral lists this transfer RNA (92 nucleotides) under Azospira sp. I09. RNAcentral describes it as "tRNA-Ala". Lineage: Bacteria; Pseudomonadati; Pseudomonadota; Betaproteobacteria; Rhodocyclales; Rhodocyclaceae. The record is from RNAcentral.